CAGAUUCACAAAAUGAGUGACCGCCUAUCUCUGUAUGUCCAUCUCCCUCAUAGGCUGUAUCUUUCUGGAGACUAUCAGGAUUCCCACUAAUUUAUCAUCAUCAUCAUCAUCAUCAUCAUCAUCUUAAGUCUCCUAUGGUCUGGAUUCGGUGCAUACAUUGAUGUCUGGAGCCAAAUCCACACAAGAUGAUUUUUGCCACUGCAUCUGGUUCUCUGGGAACUCCAUUGUCUGCUUUCUUGAAGCUUUUCACCUUUUCGUCUGAAGUAUGUUCUGGCAGCCAGAGAUGU
Molecule: long non-coding RNA, 287 nt
Organism: Fukomys damarensis (Damara mole-rat)
Lineage: Eukaryota; Metazoa; Chordata; Mammalia; Rodentia; Bathyergidae
Exons: 4
Source: RefSeq, a predicted model, not a curated record